Mizuhopecten yessoensis (Yesso scallop) is the source of this 415-nucleotide long non-coding RNA. RefSeq lists it as uncharacterized. The transcript is spliced from 3 exons. The record is from RefSeq and is a predicted model, not a curated record. Lineage: Eukaryota; Metazoa; Mollusca; Bivalvia; Pectinida; Pectinidae.
CAGGAGGUGUUGGAAAGACGGGUCGGAGCUUCCACAUGCUCACAUUUUCUCAAGGAGCAAUUCCAGGACUCCUUUCAAGAAUUUGUGAUGGAGCAUUGUUUGGUCGGUCGAGGGUGCCCUGGUGUGAGGCCAGAGCAAGAAGAAGACAAGCUGAUGUGUAAUACCUAUUAUUGGGCUGAAUCAGAGAACUUACACCACUACAGAAUCACCACUAUAAUCCUGGAUGCAGGCAUUAACGAUUUGGAGUAUUUUCCCAUAAAGACUUGACCUGGGAGCCGAGAGGCUAGCUAUACACUGCCUGGAGUAACGUCAAUGAAAUGGACAAUUGGAUGGGGAGAGUUACAAAGUACACGAGGACCGAGCACAAUAUAAUCCAUUGGAGAGCAAUGAAAUUCUACUUAUCUUACACUGCCAA